AGUUCGGUGGCCUAGUGGUUAGAGCGUCCGCCUCGGAUGCGGCAGUUCGCGUGUUCGAACCCCGGCUGAGUCA
Molecule: non-coding RNA, 73 nt
Organism: Potamilus streckersoni
Lineage: Eukaryota; Metazoa; Mollusca; Bivalvia; Unionida; Unionidae
Source: the annotation of a GenBank genome assembly